UCAAGAAACAGUAGCCAACCACAAAAUGUUUCUGUCCCAGGGAAAGAUUUUUCAAUUAUUUUCUUUUUUGUCAUCUAAACUUCAUUUUAAGCUAAAUAUAUUCAGAUUUCAUCACUUUACUUUGCCUCUAAGACUCUGGAAAAGUUGAGACCUCACACAAAGAUAUUCAUCUUAGAAGUUCACAAAC
Molecule: unclassified non-coding RNA, 187 nt
Organism: Cercocebus atys (sooty mangabey)
Lineage: Eukaryota; Metazoa; Chordata; Mammalia; Primates; Cercopithecidae
Source: Ensembl